UUUACGGGGUAAUAAAAAUAUUCCACAUUUUGAUUGUGGUGGUGAUUACAAAACAGUACAUUUUUCAAAAGUCAUAGAACUAUGUAUUUCAAAAAGGUGAAUUUUCCCACAUAUAAAUUGUAACUCAAUAAACUUGACUGAUACACAAUGUACUUACCAAUUGGAUCCAUGGCAACAAUGGGUUUGGAAGGACGACUUGGUUUCCCAGACCCUCUUGCAUUAAUGGCUGUGACACGGUGUUCAUAUUCUAAGCCUUCAAUAAGGCCAGUGGAGCGGUACCGUGUCAUCGUCACAGGUACUUUAUUUACACGGACCCAUCGAUCUGCUCUCACUUCUUUGCGCUCCACAAUGUAUCCAGUCACUUGGGAGCCACCGUCAUCCUCUGGUGGGUACCAAGUAAGUGUCAUGCCAUCACGGGAAACAUCAAAUAUCUGUAAUGUUUCUGGGGGUCCAGGAAUACCUGCAGCAAGACAGAGGUUAACACGAUAUGGCAAUAUGAAUAAGUUAAAACAAUGACUCAUAUAUUUAUGUUUUCCUUAGGUUUUGGUUGGUAUUUUAAAAGAUACAUAAGACACAUGACUAUUUUUCCAAUAGUUUCACUUUUGUACUAUUUGUAAAUUUUAAUUUAAAUCAUUUAAUUAUUUAAUUAUUUUUAUUAAAAAUUUUUGACCUUUAUUUUA
RNAcentral lists this non-coding RNA (680 nucleotides) under Pongo abelii (Sumatran orangutan). Lineage: Eukaryota; Metazoa; Chordata; Mammalia; Primates; Hominidae. The record is from RNAcentral.